RNAcentral lists this transfer RNA (84 nucleotides) under Fasciola hepatica (liver fluke). RNAcentral's name for it is "tRNA-Ser". It matches the Rfam family "tRNA". Rfam says of the family: Transfer RNA (tRNA) molecules are approximately 80 nucleotides in length. Their secondary structure includes four short double-helical elements and three loops (D, anti-codon, and T loops). Lineage: Eukaryota; Metazoa; Platyhelminthes; Trematoda; Plagiorchiida; Fasciolidae. The record is from RNAcentral.
GGCUUCGCAACUCAGCUGAUAGAGCACUCGCGAUACUAAAGCUAGGAUGGUGGCCAUGCGUGGGUUCGAAUCCCGCCGAGGCCA